UAAUACGUAGGGUGCGAGCGUUAAUCGGAAUUACUGGGCGUAAAGAGUGCGUAGGCGGUUGCGCAAGUCCGCUGUGAAAUCCCCGGGCUCAACCUGGGAAUGGCAGUGGAAACUAGGCGACUUGAAUCUGGCAGAGGGGGGUGGAAUUCCACGUGUAGCAGUGAAAUGCGUAGAGAUGUGGAGGAACACCGAUGGCGAAGGCAGCCCCCUGGGCUGAGAUUGACGCUCAGGCACGAAAGCGUGGGGAGCAAACAGGAUUAGAUACCCUGGUAGUCCACGCCCUAAACGAUGUCAACUAGGUGUUGGGGAAGCGAUUUCCUAGUACCGCAGCUAACGCGUGAAGUUGACCGCCUGGGGAGUACGGUCGCAAGAUUA
RNAcentral lists this ribosomal RNA (375 nucleotides) under uncultured bacterium. RNAcentral's name for it is "bacterial SSU rRNA". It matches the Rfam family "Bacterial small subunit ribosomal RNA", at positions 521 to 896 of the family's 1533-position model. The record is from RNAcentral.